Molecule: long non-coding RNA, 891 nt
Filed under: Androctonus crassicauda
Lineage: Eukaryota; Metazoa; Arthropoda; Arachnida; Scorpiones; Buthidae
Source: RNAcentral
CUUAGGGUAUGUGGAAAGUCUGAAAAUGAAUAAUUUUCCGGUAGUUGCAAGGGGAAUUACGUAAAGUGCAGCAAUUUUAAACGAUGACGUCAAGGAGGAAUGACUCAUAUCCAUUGGUUUAAGUGUAUCCAUGAGUGCAUCAAUACCGGUUUGAGUAAAGUCAUUAGGUGACGAAAGUUUUAUGAGAAAAGUUGAUUCUAGAUUUUUACCGAAUAAUAUUUUAAAAUUGCCCCAUACGUCUUAGGAAGAAAACUUAAGUAUUCAAGUUUAAAGUUAGCUUAUAGAAUUUUUGUGACGAAAGAGUAUUGAAAAUACAAAGCUAUUGUGUCGUGCAGCUAAGCCUAACUGGUAGAAACGUGCAGACGACAUUUUUGUUAUUUGAGAAAGAAUCAGAUGGAAGAAUGUUGAGGGUAAUUAUUUUAAAGAAUUAUUGUUAUCCAUAUGAAGAGAUUAUUUUAGAAAGGUAGAACUUACAAAAUGUUACCUAGAUGAGAUUGACUUUACAUCAGGUAAAAAAUUUAUAAAUAAUAUAUAGAAAAGAAUCAGAAACUAAAGAAUGGCACAGAGACAAAAUACAGAAAGUUCGUUAUUUUAUGAUUUAAAAUCUAAGUUUGCCUCCCGCAGUUCAAAUCAUAAUCAUUCACAGUAUAGAAAUGUAGAAUUGGAACAAUCUGGUCAAGAACCAGAAGGAUUUGCGCCUUUACUCAAUGGGAAUCAAGGUGAGUAUAACAUUAUCUAUAGAAAAACUAUUAAAUUUUAAAUAUGAUUAAAAUUCCAAAUUAAGAUCAAUCAUAAAAAAGCAAUCUGAGAAAACUUUUAAAUAUUUUCAAUGGUGAAAUUCAUUAUAUUUUUAUAUAAUUUCAUGAAAAAAUUACGUUUUCAAUAAUAAAU